RNAcentral lists this ribosomal RNA (583 nucleotides) under Pseudo-nitzschia fraudulenta. RNAcentral's name for it is "partial Bacterial large subunit ribosomal RNA". It matches the Rfam family "Bacterial large subunit ribosomal RNA", at positions 1912 to 2494 of the family's 2925-position model. The record is from RNAcentral. Lineage: Eukaryota; Bacillariophyta; Bacillariophyceae; Bacillariales; Bacillariaceae.
UUGAAGCCCCAGUAAACGGCGGCCGUAACAAUAACGGUCCUAAGGUAGCGAAAUUCCUUGUCGGGUAAGUUCCGACCUGCACGAAUGGUGUAACCAUGGCCACGCUGUCUCCACCCGAGACUCAGUGAAAUUGAAAUUGCGGUUAAGAUGCCGUAUACCCGCGGCUAGACGGAAAGACCCCGUGAACCUUUACUAUAGCUUCACAGUGAACUUUGAGCAUGUUUGUGUAGGAUAGCUGGGAGGCUUUGAAACCUGGGCGCCAGCUCAGGUGGAGCCAAUCUUGAAAUACCAGCCUGGUACUAUUGGGGUUCUAACUCUGGACCAUUAUCUGGUUCGAGGACAUUGUGUGGUGGGUAGUUUGACUGGGGCGGUCUCCUCCCAAAGUGUAACGGAGGAGCACGAAGGUGCGCUAAUCACGGUCGGAAAUCGUGAGGUUAGUGUAAUGGCACAAGCGCGCUUAACUGCGAGACUGACAAGUCGAGCAGGUACGAAAGUAGGUCAUAGUGAUCCGGUGGUUCUGUAUGGAAGGGCCAUCGCUCAACGGAUAAAAGGUACUCCGGGGAUAACAGGCUGAUACCGCCCA